This 903-nucleotide ribosomal RNA is filed under the name Pholiotina calongei. RNAcentral describes it as "partial large subunit ribosomal RNA". It matches the Rfam family "Eukaryotic large subunit ribosomal RNA", at positions 45 to 935 of the family's 3401-position model. Lineage: Eukaryota; Fungi; Basidiomycota; Agaricomycetes; Agaricales; Bolbitiaceae. The record is from RNAcentral.
AAUAAGCGGAGGAAAAGAAACUAACAAGGAUUCCCCUAGUAACUGCGAGUGAAGCGGGAAAAGCUCAAAUUUAAAAUCUGGCAGCCUUUGGUUGUCCGAGUUGUAACCUAGAGAAGUGCUAUCCGUGUUGGACCGUGUUUAAGUCUCCUGGAAUGGAGCGUCAUAGAGGGUGAGAAUCCCGUCUUUGACAUGGACUACCAAUGCAUUGUGAUACGCUCUCAAAGAGUCGAGUUGUUUGGGAAUGCAGCUCAAAAUGGGUGGUAAAUUCCAUCUAAAGCUAAAUAUUGGCGAGAGACCGAUAGCGAACAAGUACCGUGAGGGAAAGAUGAAAAGAACUUUGGAAAGAGAGUUAAACAGUACGUGAAAUUGCUGAAAGGGAAACGCUUGAAGUCAGUCGCGUUGGCCAGGAAUCAACCUUGCUUCUGCUGGGUGUACUUUCUGGUUGACGGGUCAGCAUCAAUUUUGACUGUUGGAAAAAGUUCAGAGGAAUGUGGCAUCUUCGGAUGUGUUAUAGCCUCGGUUCGCAUACAACAGUUGGGAUUGAGGAGCUCAGCACGCCGCAAGGCCGGGUUUCGACCACGUACGUGCUUAGGAUGCUGGCAUAAUGGCUUUAAUCGACCCGUCUUGAAACACGGACCAAGGAGUCUAACAUGCCUGCGAGUGUUUGGGUGGAAAACCCGAGCGCGUAAUGAAAGUGAAAGUUGAGAUCCCUGUCGCGGGGAGCAUCGACGCCCGGACCAGACCUCUUGUGACGGUUCCGCGGUAGAGCAUGUAUGUUGGGACCCGAAAGAUGGUGAACUAUGCCUGAAUAGGGUGAAGCCAGAGGAAACUCUGGUGGAGGCUCGUAGCGAUUCUGACGUGCAAAUCGAUCGUCAAAUUUGGGUAUAGGGGCGAAAGACUAAU